UACGAAGGGGGGCUAGCGUUGCUCGGAAUCACUGGGCGUAAAGCGCACGUAGGCGGAUUGCUAAGUCAGGGGUGAAAUCCUGGAGCUCAACUCCAGAACUGCCCUUGAUACUGGCGGUCUCGAGUCCGGGAGAGGUGAGUGGAACUGCGAGUGUAGAGGUGAAAUUCGUAGAUAUUCGCAAGAACACCAGUGGCGAAGGCGGCUCACUGGCCCGGUACUGACGCUGAGGUGCGAAAGCGUGGGGAGCGAACAGG
Molecule: ribosomal RNA, 254 nt
Filed under: uncultured bacterium
Lineage: Bacteria
Description: partial 16S ribosomal RNA
Rfam family: Bacterial small subunit ribosomal RNA
Source: RNAcentral